Molecule: ribosomal RNA, 460 nt
Filed under: uncultured bacterium
Lineage: Bacteria
Description: partial 16S ribosomal RNA
Rfam family: Bacterial small subunit ribosomal RNA
Source: RNAcentral
CCUACGGGCGGCAGCAGUGAGGAAUAUUGGUCAAUGGGCUUACGCCUGAACCAGCCAAGUCGCGUGAGGGAAGACUGCCCUAUGGGUUGUAAACCUCUUUUGUCAGGGAGCAACGCCGGCUACGUGUAGCCGGACUGAGAGUACCUGAAGAAAAAGCAUCGGCUAACUCCGUGCCAGCAGCCGCGGUAAUACGGAGGAUGCGAGCGUUAUCCGGAUUUAUGGGGUUUAAAGGGUGCGUAGGCGGAAUGCCAAGUCAGCGGUAAAAUCGCGGGGCUCAACCUCGCUCCGCCGUUGAAACUGGCGUUCUUGAGUGGGCGAGAAGUAUGCGGAAUGCGUGGUGUAGCGGUGAAAUGCAUAGAUAUCACGCAGAACUCCGAUCGCGAAGGCAGCCUACCGGCGCGCAACUGACGCUCAUGCACGAAAGCGUGGGUAUCGAACAGGAUUAGAUACCCCUGUAGUC